RNAcentral lists this unclassified non-coding RNA (428 nucleotides) under soil metagenome. Its description in RNAcentral is "partial contains 5.8S ribosomal RNA, internal transcribed spacer 2, and large subunit ribosomal RNA". The stretch from base 1 to 120 matches the Rfam family "5.8S ribosomal RNA", at positions 35 to 154 of the family's 154-position model. The record is from RNAcentral.
GAUGAAGAACGCAGCGAAAUGCGAUACGUAAUGUGAAUUGCAGAAUUCAGUGAAUCAUCGAAUCUUUGAACGCAUAUUGCGCUCUCUGGUAUUCCGGAGAGCAUGCUUGUUUGAGUAUCAGUAAACACCUCAACUCCCUUUUCUUUUUUGAAAUUGGAGCUGGACUUGAGUGAUCCCAACGCUUUCUUCCAAGAAAGUGGCGGGUUGCUUGAAAUGUAGGUGCAGCUGAACUUUUCUCUUAGCUAUAAGCAUAUCUAUUUAGUCUGCCUAAAAAACAGAUUAUUACCUUUGCUGCAGCUAACAUAAAGGAGACUAGUUCUUGUGCUGACUGAUGCAGGAUUCACAGAGACAGCUUCGGCUGACUUUGUAAACUCGAUCUCAAAUCAAGUAAGACUACCCGCUGAACUUAAGCAUAUCAAAGCGGAGGA